CCCUUAGAUGUUCUGGGCCGCACGCGCGCUACACUGACUACUUCAACGAGUUGUUUCCUUGAUCGAAAGGUCUGGGUAAUCUUUGAAAGGUAGUCGUGAUGGGGAUAGAUCCUUGCAAUUUUUGAUCUUCAACGAGGAAUUCCUAGUAAACGCAAGUCAUCAGCUUGCAUUGAUUACGUCCCUGCCCUUUGUACACACCGCCCGUCGCACCUACCGAUUGAAUGGUCCGGUGAAUCUUUAGGACUGUGGCUGAGGCCUUGCCUUGUGCGGGUCUGGCCGUGGGAAUUUAGUUAAACCUUACCAUUUAGAGGAAGGUGAGGUCGUAACA
RNAcentral lists this ribosomal RNA (328 nucleotides) under uncultured eukaryote. RNAcentral describes it as "partial 18S ribosomal RNA". It matches the Rfam family "Eukaryotic small subunit ribosomal RNA", at positions 1470 to 1796 of the family's 1831-position model. The record is from RNAcentral.